This 467-nucleotide ribosomal RNA is filed under the name uncultured bacterium. RNAcentral's name for it is "partial 16S ribosomal RNA". It matches the Rfam family "Bacterial small subunit ribosomal RNA", at positions 28 to 507 of the family's 1533-position model. The record is from RNAcentral.
GACGAACGCUGGCGGCGUGCUUAACACAUGCAAGUCGAACGGAAAGGCCUCUUUCGGGGGGUACUCGAGUGGCGAACGGGUGAGUAACACGUGAGUAACCUGCCCUUGACUUUGGGAUAACUUCAGGAAACUGGGGCUAAUACCGGAUAGGAGCUCCUGCUGCAUGGUGGGGGUUGGAAAGUUUCGGCGGUUGGGGAUGGACUCGCGGCUUAUCAGCUUGUUGGUGGGGUAGUGGCUUACCAAGGCUUUGACGGGUAGCCGGCCUGAGAGGGUGACCGGCCACAUUGGGACUGAGAUACGGCCCAGACUCCUACGGGAGGCAGCAGUGGGGAAUAUUCCACAAUGGGUGGAAGCCUGAUGCAGCAACGCCGUGUGCGGGAUGACGGCCUUCGGGUUGUAAACCGCUUUCGCUCAUGACGAAGCUUUGUGUGACGGUAGUGGGUAAAGAAGCACCGGCUAACUACGUG